UGAAAGAUCUAUGCUUUAUUUUCACCCUCAUUCGUAUUGGAAAAUUAACACAGCGUUUCUCCUCAAAUUUCAAUGAACAUGAUCUCCUUUUUGCUAAAGGUCGCCUUGAAAAAAAAGACGAAGAGG
This is a non-coding RNA of Caenorhabditis elegans, 126 nucleotides long. NCBI's taxonomy places the organism in Eukaryota, Metazoa, Nematoda, Chromadorea, Rhabditida, Rhabditidae. The record is from Ensembl.